UACAGAGGGCGCAAGCGUUGUUCGGAUUCAUUGGGCGUAAAGGGUGCGUAGGUGGUGAGGCAAGUCUGGUGUGAAAUCUCGGAGCUCAACUCCGAAAUUGCACCGGAUACUGCGUGACUCGAGGACUGUAGAGGAGAUCGGAAUUCACGGUGUAGCAGUGAAAUGCGUAGAUAUCGUGAGGAAGACCAGUUGCGAAGGCGGCUCUCUGGGCAGUUCCUGACACUGAGGCACGAAGGCCAGGGGAGCAAACGGG
RNAcentral lists this ribosomal RNA (253 nucleotides) under uncultured bacterium. RNAcentral's name for it is "partial 16S ribosomal RNA". It matches the Rfam family "Bacterial small subunit ribosomal RNA", at positions 524 to 776 of the family's 1533-position model. The record is from RNAcentral.